RNAcentral lists this ribosomal RNA (248 nucleotides) under Escherichia coli. RNAcentral's name for it is "partial 23S ribosomal RNA". It matches the Rfam family "Bacterial large subunit ribosomal RNA", at positions 1341 to 1591 of the family's 2925-position model. RNAcentral also lists the same sequence under 1 other name. Lineage: Bacteria; Pseudomonadati; Pseudomonadota; Gammaproteobacteria; Enterobacterales; Enterobacteriaceae. The record is from RNAcentral.
GAAGACCAAGGGUUCCUGUCCAACGUUAAUCGGGGCAGGGUGAGUCGACCCCUAAGGCGAGGCCGAAAGGCGUAGUCGAUGGGAAACAGGUUAAUAUUCCUGUACUUGGUGUUACUGCGAAGGGGGGACGGAGAAGGCUAUGUUGGCCGGGCGACGGUUGUCCCGGUUUAAGCGUGUAGGCUGGUUUUCCAGGCAAAUCCGGAAAAUCAAGGCUGAGGCGUGAUGACGAGGCACUACGGUGCUGAAGC